GACGAACGCUGGCGGCGUGCCUAAUACAUGCAAGUAGAACGCUGAAGGAGGAGCUUGCUCUUCUGGAUGAGUUGCGAACGGGUGAGUAACGCGUAGGUAACCUGCAUGGUAGCGGGGGAUAACUAUUGGAAACGAUAGCUAAUACCGCAUAAGAGUAGAUGUUGCAUGACAUUUACUUAAAAGGUGCAAUUGCAUCACUACCAGAUGGACCUGCGUUGUAUUAGCUAGUUGGUGGGGUAACAGCUUACCAAGGCGACGAUACAUAGCCGACCUGAGAGGGGGAUCGGCCACACUGGGACUGAGACACGGCCCAGACUCCUACGGGAGGCAGCAGUAGGGAAUCUUCGGCAAUGGACGGAAGUCUGACCGAGCAACGCCGCGUGAGUGAAGAAGGGUUUCGGAUCGUAAAGCUCUGUUGUAAGAGAAGAACGAGUGUGAGAGUGGAAAGUUCACACUGUGACGGUAUCUUACCAGAAAGGGACGGCUAACUACGUG
RNAcentral lists this ribosomal RNA (495 nucleotides) under uncultured bacterium. Its description in RNAcentral is "partial 16S ribosomal RNA". It matches the Rfam family "Bacterial small subunit ribosomal RNA", at positions 28 to 507 of the family's 1533-position model. The record is from RNAcentral.